RNAcentral lists this microRNA (24 nucleotides) under Haemonchus contortus (barber pole worm). Its description in RNAcentral is "hco-miR-5904b". The record is from miRBase by way of RNAcentral. Lineage: Eukaryota; Metazoa; Nematoda; Chromadorea; Rhabditida; Trichostrongylidae.
GUAAACCCUCUACUUCACUUCGAA